CUACUAGGGUUUCUAAUCCUGUUUGCUCCCCACGCUUUCGUGCCUCAGUGUCAGUGCUGGUCCAGGUGGCCGCCUUCGCCACGGAUGUUCCUCCCGAUAUCUACGCAUUUCACUGCUACACCGGGAAUUCCGCCACCCUCUACCGCACUCCAGAUCGCCAGUAUCCAAUGCAGUUCCCAGGUUGAGCCCAGGGCUUUCACAUCAGACUUAACGAACCACCUACGCACGCUUUACGCCCAGUAAUUCCGAGUAACGCUUGCACCCUUCGUAUUACCGCGGCUGCUGGCAC
Molecule: ribosomal RNA, 289 nt
Filed under: uncultured Lysobacter sp.
Lineage: Bacteria; Pseudomonadati; Pseudomonadota; Gammaproteobacteria; Lysobacterales; Lysobacteraceae
Description: partial 16S ribosomal RNA
Source: RNAcentral